This 254-nucleotide ribosomal RNA is filed under the name uncultured bacterium. RNAcentral describes it as "partial 16S ribosomal RNA". It matches the Rfam family "Bacterial small subunit ribosomal RNA", at positions 524 to 776 of the family's 1533-position model. The record is from RNAcentral.
UACGUAGGGUGCAAGCGUUAAUCGGAAUUACUGGGCGUAAAGCGUGCGCAGGCGGUUUUGUAAGUCAGAUGUGAAAUCCCCGGGCUUAACCUGGGAACUGCGUUUGAAACUACAAGGCUAGAGUGUGGCAGAGGGGGGUGGAAUUCCACGUGUAGCAGUGAAAUGCGUAGAGAAUGUGGAGGAACACCGAUGGCGAAGGCAGCCCCCUGGGUCAAGAUUGACGCUCAUGCACGAAAGCGUGGGGAGCAAACAGG